This 253-nucleotide ribosomal RNA is filed under the name uncultured bacterium. RNAcentral's name for it is "partial 16S ribosomal RNA". It matches the Rfam family "Bacterial small subunit ribosomal RNA", at positions 524 to 776 of the family's 1533-position model. The record is from RNAcentral.
UACGGAGGGUGCAAGCGUUGUCCGGAUUUAUUGGGUUUAAAGGGUGCGCAGGUGGGUAUUUAAGUCUGGCUUGAAAGCAGGUGGCUCAACCAUCUGAUGUGGCUGGAAACUGGAUAUCUUGAAUGGGUUGGCGGUAGCCGGAAUGGGUCAUGUAGCGGUGAAAUGCAUAGAUAUGACCCGGAACACCGAUUGCGAAGGCAGGCUACUACGACUUGAUUGACACUGAGGCACGAGAGCAUGGGUAGCGAACAGG